CCUACGAGUGGCAGCCGUGGGGAAUAUUGGACAAUGGGCGCAAGCCUGACACAGCAACGCCGCGUGAAGGAAGAAGGCUCUCGGGUUGUAAACUUCUUUUAUCAGGGACGAAGCAAGUGACGGUACCUGAUGAAUAAGCCACGGCUAACUACGUGCCAGCAGCCGCGGUAAUACGGAGGUGGCAAGCGUAAUUCGGAUUUACUGGGUGGAAAGGGCGAGUAGGCGGGAAAGCAAGUGAGAGGUGAAAACGAUGGGCUCAACCUGUGGACUGCAUUUUACACUGGUUUUCUUGAGUACUGGAGAGGCAGAUGGAAUUCCUAGGGUAGCUGUGAAAUGCGUAGAUAUUAGGAGGAACACCAGGGGCGAAGGCGGUCUGCUGGACAGCAACUGACGCUGAGGCGCGAAAGCGUGGGGAGCAAACAGGAUUAGAUACCCGUGUAGUC
RNAcentral lists this ribosomal RNA (443 nucleotides) under uncultured bacterium. RNAcentral's name for it is "partial 16S ribosomal RNA". It matches the Rfam family "Bacterial small subunit ribosomal RNA", at positions 338 to 795 of the family's 1533-position model. The record is from RNAcentral.